RNAcentral lists this ribosomal RNA (253 nucleotides) under uncultured prokaryote. Its description in RNAcentral is "partial 16S ribosomal RNA". It matches the Rfam family "Bacterial small subunit ribosomal RNA", at positions 524 to 776 of the family's 1533-position model. The record is from RNAcentral.
GACGUAGGGGGCGAGCGUUGUCCGGAAUUACUGGGCGUAAAGAGCACGUAGGCGGAUAUUUAAGUCAGGUGUGAAAGACCGCAGCCUAACUGCGGGGUUGCACUUGAAACUGGGUAUCUUGAGGGCAGGAGAGGUCAGUAGAAUUCCUGGUGUAGCGGUGAAAUGCGUAGAAAUCAGGAGGAAUACCAGUGGCGAAGGCGGCUGACUGGACUGACCCUGACGCUGAGGUGCGAAAGCGUGGGUAGCAAACAGG